Drosophila melanogaster (fruit fly) is the source of this 1112-nucleotide non-coding RNA. Lineage: Eukaryota; Metazoa; Arthropoda; Insecta; Diptera; Drosophilidae. The record is from Ensembl.
GUGCUUCGGGAGCAGAAAGGUAUACCAAUAAAAGCACCACGAAAGUUGGUGCCAAUCGGAAGUGCACUGCCUAAAAGCGGACCUCGAAUGGGAACUGAAGAUUCAAGAUGAGCUGCUGUGCCACCUGCAUACUAAACAUUACCCAGGACUUCUUUUUGCUCCCGCUAUAUGAGAGUGUGUAUGUGUGUGUGUGUCUGGGUGGGAAAAAUGUGGAAAGGACGUGGGGUUGACUGUUAUUGACUGUGCGAACUCAAGAUGUACACAAUAUGCAAAUUGCGGGUCCAGAAUGAGGUAAAAUAUCAGGCAGCUCCACGCUGAAUUUUGGUAUCUGCUGUGCGCAUAUAAAUUACAGAGCAAAUACUUGGUCUCCUAAAUACACUACGAGAAAUAUCUAAUAGAUACACAUACAUAUAUGGAUAAAUAUCGGAAACGCCUAAUUCAACGUAGAACACAAUUUUAGUCGAAUCUAGUAUACCCUUUACUCACUCGAUAUACUCGUACAUAUAUGAAUCAUAUGGCUUAAAAAUAUAAUAGGGGUCGUAUAAAAUUCUUUUCCGGGUAUGACCGUACAAAAAAAUUCAGAUCUAUCCGGAAAAGGAACAAAAUGGCAGCACUGCUACAGAAAGCAGAGAGGCCAACGGAUGUGUUGUCAAUUUCUGGGCCUGGCAAAUGAAAUGAUGCCUUUUUGUCUCUUACGCCGGUGGCAGCAACAAAGGCGGGCACCCUGUCAUCUUCAAUUAGUCCCCCGAAAGGAAGAAGAAAAGCGGUCCAUCCUUUCUCAGCUGGAGGCGCUACAACAAAAGUGUCAUCUGCGUGCUUCAUUUAUUCAUAAAUAUAAAUUUAGCAUAGGUCGCGGCGAGAUUACUUAAAGCUGUCCUCAAUAAAGCAGAAUCCUCCAAGGAGUGCCAAAAUUUGAAGCUUCUUAGGCUUAUCGUCCUUCGUGACUGCCAUUAUUGCCAAUCCAAAUGGAAAGUGCGACGUACCUUGGCGCCAAAUUUACACAUUAAUUACCAAUGCACAGGUUGUGAAAACGUGAGUUUUGUACCCUUCAAUAAAGUUUUAAGCGGGUUAAAAGGGCCCAACAUCCAUUUGUUACCCAGAUGAUUCCUACA